AAGUCGUAACAAGGUUUCCGUAGGUGAACCUGCGGAAGGAUCAUUAACACGUAUCCAACGUUAAACAACCCUGUGAACUUUCAGCCUGCUCUUGUAACCCAUGCGGAACAGCAAACCUCUGUCCAAAAGGAAAUUGCAAUUGAGCGGUAGAGGCAGUGGCAUGGCUUCCCAAAGCAGUUAGUGAAUGAAAGUGUCACCGACUGUGAAGGAUAACGCAUCACGGUUGCUGGAGGUCGAUCACCGACCGGCAGACAUGUCACAGGGUCACCACGCCCCUUAAUCACCCCACUUUUAAAAUGCUUUCUCUAGUGGUAACGCGCUAGAUAACAAAAACCGAACAACUGUUAACAAUGGAUAUCUUGGUUCUC
RNAcentral lists this unclassified non-coding RNA (368 nucleotides) under fungal sp. RNAcentral's name for it is "partial internal transcribed spacer region". The stretch from base 1 to 46 matches the Rfam family "Eukaryotic small subunit ribosomal RNA", at positions 1786 to 1831 of the family's 1831-position model. Lineage: Eukaryota; Fungi. The record is from RNAcentral.